AUUGAACGCUGGCGGCAGGCCUAACACAUGCAAGUCGAGCGAGCGGCGGACAGGGGAGUCAAGUAUGGGGGAUGCGCGAUAGAGGGGGGUAACACCUGGAAACGGGAGCUAAAACAGCAUACUAUCGGAUAACGCAUAUGGGGUUAGCGAGUAGGUGAGGUAAAGGCUCACAUAGGCGACGAUCCCUAGCUGGUCUGAGAGGAUGAUCAGCCACACUUGGACUGAGACACGGUCCAGACGCCUACGGAGGCAGCAGUGGGGAAUAUUGCACAAUGGGCGCAAGCCUGAUGCAACCAUGCCGCGUGUAUGAAGAAGGCCCUAGGGUUGUAAAGUACUUUCAGUCGGGAGGCGUUACCGACAGAAGAAGCACCGGCUAACUCCGUGCCAGCAGCCGCGGUAAUAC
RNAcentral lists this ribosomal RNA (403 nucleotides) under uncultured bacterium. RNAcentral's name for it is "partial 16S ribosomal RNA". It matches the Rfam family "Bacterial small subunit ribosomal RNA", at positions 29 to 526 of the family's 1533-position model. The record is from RNAcentral.